GAUGAACGCUGGCGGCGUGCCUAAUACAUGCCAGUCGAGCGAACAGACGAGGAGCUUGCUCCUCUGACGUUAGCGGCGGACGGGUGAGUAACACGUGGAUAACCUACCUAUAAGACUGGGAUAACGUCGGGAAACCGGAGCUAAUACCGGAUAAUAUAUUGAACCGCAUGGUUCAAUAGUGAAAGACGGUUUUGCUGUCACUUAUAGAUGGAUCCGCGCCGCAUUAGCUAGUUGGUAAGGUAACGGCUUACCAAGGCAACGAUGCGUAGCCGACCUGAGAGGGUGAUCGGCCCCACUGGAACUGAGACACGGUCCAGACUCCUCCGGGAGGCAGCAGUAGGGAAUCUUCCGCAAUGGGCGAAAGCCUGACGGAGCAACGCCGCGUGAGUGAUGAAGGUCUUCGGAUCGUAAAACUCUGUUCUUAGGGAAGACCAAAUGUGUAAGUAACUAUGCACGUCUUGACGGUACCUAAUCAGAAAGCCACGGCUAACUACGUG
This 497-nucleotide ribosomal RNA is filed under the name uncultured bacterium. Its description in RNAcentral is "partial 16S ribosomal RNA". It matches the Rfam family "Bacterial small subunit ribosomal RNA", at positions 28 to 507 of the family's 1533-position model. The record is from RNAcentral.